AUCUUCAACCCCAUGGCCGAAUAUAGCAAGGAGAAACCAUGGCUAGGGUUUUUCAAGCUUCCAAGCUCGAUUUGUUGACAAGCCAGCUCGGAAAUCGGAAACGGUCGGAGGCACGCUCACACUAUCCGUAUACCAUCUUGGCAUAAUGGCUUGUAUAUUUUGAGUAUGGCAUGUAUAGCAUUAUAAUCAUUUUGUAUAUAUGGUCUUAUGAUAUGGUUAUUGAGUGGUAUGGAAAUAGAAAUGCUUGGUAAUGAUUAGCCAUUGGAAUGGCUAAUCAUGAUCA
Molecule: long non-coding RNA, 283 nt
Organism: Gossypium arboreum
Lineage: Eukaryota; Viridiplantae; Streptophyta; Magnoliopsida; Malvales; Malvaceae
Exons: 2
Source: RefSeq, a predicted model, not a curated record